This 769-nucleotide ribosomal RNA is filed under the name uncultured bacterium. Its description in RNAcentral is "bacterial SSU rRNA". It matches the Rfam family "Bacterial small subunit ribosomal RNA", at positions 8 to 772 of the family's 1533-position model. The record is from RNAcentral.
AGAGUUUGAUCCUGGCUCAGGAUGAACGCUGGCGGCGUGCUUAACACAUGCAAGUCGAACGAAGCGCGCGGAAGGAAGGCCUUCGGGCCGGAGAGCCGCGGGACUGAGUGGCGGACGGGUGAGUAACGCGUGGGCAACCUGCCCCGUACAGGGGGAUAACAGCCGGAAACGGCUGCUAAUACCGCAUAAGCGCACAGCGCCGCAUGGCGCGGUGUGAAAAGCUCCGGCGGUACGGGAGGGGCCCGCGUCUGAUUAGGCAGUUGGCGGGGCAGCGGCCCACCAAACCGACGAUCAGUAGCCGGCCUGAGAGGGCGGCCGGCCACAUUGGGACUGAGACACGGCCCAAACUCCUGCGGGAGGCAGCAGUGGGGAAUAUUGCACAAUGGGGGAAACCCUGAUGCAGCGACGCCGCGUGAGCGAAGAAGUAUUUCGGUAUGUAAAGCUCUAUCAGCAGGGAAGAAAAAAAUGACGGUACCUGAGUAAGAAGCACCGGCUAAAUACGUGCCAGCAGCCGCGGUAAUACGUAUGGUGCAAGCGUUAUCCGGAUUUACUGGGUGUAAAGGGAGCGUAGGCGGCGCGUUAAGUCUGAUGUGAAAACCCGAGGCUCAACCACGGGAGUGCAUUGGAAACUGGCGUGCUGGAGUGCCGGAGAGGUAAGCGGAAUUCCUAGUGUAGCGGUGAAAUGCGUAGAUAUUAGGAGGAACACCAGUGGCGAAGGCGGCUUACUGGACGGCAACUGACGCUGAGGCUCGAAAGCGUGGGGAGCAAA